AACUCAACGUUUACAUUGGCCGUGAAAAUGGCUGCAAACAGAUGCGCAAUUAUACAACCAUCUUUAAACAUUAUACAAACAUCUUUUCUGAAUGGUUUGUGUGCAAUAAGUGGACGGACAUCAAGGAAAUCAGCAAAACAGCAUAAGUUUAGGACAACGAAGCCAUCUGAUGAUCCUGAUUUCCCACAGUCAGCAGACCGAAGAGUGAGAUGGCGGGUAAUUCGGACCGCCAGUCUCUCAUAAACUCACUUCCUGGUCCGUCUCUGACGCGAGGUCCAGGUGGAGGAUCCC
This is a long non-coding RNA of Poecilia reticulata (guppy), 291 nucleotides long. RefSeq lists it as uncharacterized. Lineage: Eukaryota; Metazoa; Chordata; Actinopteri; Cyprinodontiformes; Poeciliidae. The record is from RefSeq and is a predicted model, not a curated record.